Leopardus geoffroyi (Geoffroy's cat) is the source of this 476-nucleotide long non-coding RNA. RefSeq lists it as uncharacterized. The record is from RefSeq and is a predicted model, not a curated record. NCBI's taxonomy places the organism in Eukaryota, Metazoa, Chordata, Mammalia, Carnivora, Felidae. The transcript has 3 exons.
UCAAGAUCUGGAUAAAAGGUUUCCUGGGAUAAGGAGGAAAGAGAAAAGAUUUGAAGGCUAUACACUGUAUCUUCCUGACAUUUUUCAUUUCACAUUUUUAACUUGAUUGCAUGUCCAUUUAUUCAUUCAACAGAUAUUUAUUGAUCUGUUAUUUGCUUGGCACCAUUCUAAAGGAUGAAGAUAUAGUAAUGAAAAAAUAUUCCUGUCUUCACAGAGUUCUUAGUGCGGCAGGGGAGAUAUACAAUGGAAUAAAAAGAUUUUUGGUGAACUCCAUGCUGUCUGUAAUUCCAUCAUGUUCAGUUGUGGCUUACUGCUCUGGUUGAGAGAGAAUGUUUCAGAGGCCACUACCUCAUCAUCAUACCAUAACAGCCCUACCUCCAGAGGUACUAUGUCUCAAAUCGCCGUUUUAAUUCUUCACAAUGAACUAUGAAAACCAUCAUAUCUGGUCCAGAUCCCUGCAUAACCUCUUCCCAGUA